ACACAUGCAAGUCGAACGGCAGCACGGGGGCAACCCUGGUGGCGAGUGGCNAACGGGUGANUAAUACAUCNGAACGUGCCCUGUAAUGGGGGAUAACNAUUCGAAA
This 106-nucleotide ribosomal RNA is filed under the name Cupriavidus necator. RNAcentral's name for it is "partial 16S ribosomal RNA". Lineage: Bacteria; Pseudomonadati; Pseudomonadota; Betaproteobacteria; Burkholderiales; Burkholderiaceae. The record is from RNAcentral.